Molecule: long non-coding RNA, 827 nt
Filed under: Carassius auratus (goldfish)
Lineage: Eukaryota; Metazoa; Chordata; Actinopteri; Cypriniformes; Cyprinidae
Description: lncRNA (ENSCARG00000064497.1)
Source: RNAcentral
CUAGAAUUAAAUAUGGUAUACUGCAAUAUAGCUACAACUGGACCCAAAAUUCAAAACAAUUAAUUAAAUGUUGUAAAAAAAUAAAUAAGAAAAUAGAUAAAAAGUGUUUUUUGCUGCCUGGGUCCUGGUUUUAGAAAGGCGAUUUAACCUGUUUAAAAAAGAAAGAAAUAGCCUAAAAAAAAACACAAAAAAAAAAAAAAAAAAAAAAACACAAAAAACAACCUUAAAUCUGCUCACGAUAUAAUUGUAAAUAACCUACUUCGAGUGAAGGGACCACUGGCCACUCCCACAACUCCGCCCCUUUAAAAGAACAACAUCUUUCCACUGAAACACAUUAGUCAUCGUCAUUAAGAUGCCUCACAGAAACUCAUUUAAAUAUUAUCGCUUUUCUCUGAGACGGAAGUAGGCCAACACACGGCAAAUGAUGUCAUGUUAACCUAUCAAACACAGACAGGUAUUGGGCUGUCUUGUAAACAUGGCAAUAAUUUCUGCUUCUCUUUUAUCUCACUUCACAAAAAAAGUUAUAUGGGUUUAGGAUUUCUCCUACAAAGCUUUUCAAUAUCCUCAUCUUCAGGAUCUCUGGUUGUGCCCGGCUUCAACAUACUGUAGAAUAAAUCAACCAUUAGCGCAAUGGCCAUAGCAUGCAGGUGACGUGCGCAAAUCUGCAUCUCAUCCUCUGUGUCAUCACGUUAAGGUCCUCCUCCACUCGCACCUGUCUCUUUGGGACUAUAAAGGCUGCUUGGCUUCACAGCACUUUCUCAGGCUACACAAAGAAAGGAAGAAUUGGGACGCAGACAUCUAUAUUUACAUCUCAGCACAAGGUAAAG